GAUGAAGAACGCAGCGAAAUGCGAUACUUGGUGUGAAUUGCAGAAUCCCGUGAACCAUCGAGUCUUUGAACGCAAGUUGCGCCCGAAGCCAUUAGGCCGAGGGCACGCCUGCCUGGGCGUCACACGUCGUUGCCCCCCCCAUCUACUCCUUCGGGAUUGCGGGGGGCGGAUGAUGGCCUCCCGUGCGCCUCGCCGCGCGGUUGGCAUAAAUGCCAAGUCCUCGGCGACGCACGCCACGACAAUCGGUGGUUGCGAAACCUCGGUUGCCCGUCGUGUGCGGUCGUCGCGCAUCGAGGGCUCGACAACAUUGCCGAGUUCCGGCUCGGCUUUCAACGCGACCCCAGGUCAGGCGGGGUUACCCGCUGAAUUUAAGCAUAUCAAUAAGCGGAGGA
This 392-nucleotide unclassified non-coding RNA is filed under the name soil metagenome. RNAcentral's name for it is "partial contains 5.8S ribosomal RNA, internal transcribed spacer 2, and large subunit ribosomal RNA". The stretch from base 1 to 122 matches the Rfam family "5.8S ribosomal RNA", at positions 35 to 154 of the family's 154-position model. The record is from RNAcentral.